This 496-nucleotide ribosomal RNA is filed under the name uncultured bacterium. RNAcentral describes it as "partial 16S ribosomal RNA". It matches the Rfam family "Bacterial small subunit ribosomal RNA", at positions 29 to 507 of the family's 1533-position model. The record is from RNAcentral.
AUGAACGCUGGCGGCGUGCCUAAUACCUGCAAGUCGAGCGAACAGACGAGGAGCUUGCUCCUCUGACGUUAGCGGCGGACGGGUGAGUAACACGUGGAUAACCUACCUAUAAGACUGGGAUAACUUCGGGAAACCGGAGCUAAUACCGGAUAAUAUAUUGAACCGCAUGGUUCAAUAGUGAAAGACGGUUUUGCUGUCACUUAUAGAUGGAUCCGCGCCGCAUUAGCUAGUUGGUAAGGUAACGGCUUACCAAGGCAACGAUGCGUAGCCGACCUGAGAGGGUGAUCGGCCACACUGGAACUGAGACACGGUCCAGACUCCUACGGGAGGCAGCAGUAGGGAAUCUUCCGCAAUGGGCGAAAGCCUGACAGAGCAACGCCGCGUGAGUGAUGAAGGUCUUCGGAUCGUAAAACUCUGUUAUUAGGGAAGAACAAAUGUGUAAGUAACUAUGCACGUCUUGACGGUACCUAAUCAGAAAGCCACGGCUAACUACGUG